UUUAAUUAGAGUGACUAAAUUGAGAAAAAAAUUUAGAGUGAACAAAAUAGAACAAACCCUAUUUUUGAGUGACCAUUGUUGUAGGCCAUUUUGCCCGGGGCCCAAAACCAAACAACAAGCCCCAACCCAAACUCAAACACCAAAAACCAAACAGCAAAACAGUCCAAAUAUUACAAACCCAAAUAGAACCCAACUAUAAGCCCAAAUUCACAGGCCCAAUUAUCUAAACCCUAAUGGCCCAAACCCAUAACAGAAAACAACAAACCCUAGGUGCGCUGCACCAAGGGUUUUCUAACUUUUGCGCCGCCGUCGUCACAUCAUCAGCGCAAGUGGCGCACCUGCCCUCUGCCACCGCCACUUGCUCUCUGCCACACCCCCAUCAAUUACCUGCAAAAACACGCAACAACAAAAGAACCAAGCAAAAAACAACCAAAAUAGGAACUAAAAUGAUGUUCAAAUCGGCUAUAAAAGCCAAGAUCUAAUGCUUGUAAAGGGUUCCUUUUUUUCGCGAACAUGAAAUAAAAAAAAUAACAUUUUCAAGGUGAUUGUUUUUAUUUCCGUUUUAGGUACUUAUUUUGGUUAUAUACUCCUAUUUUUUUUUAUCUAUUUUAUUUUUUAUAUAUACGAAAAUAACAAAAAAAAAAAGAAAGAAGAGGAAAAGACUUACCUAGGCGGGGCCGAAAAGCCCACUUUGUGCAACGCUGGCCGCUGGCCACUGGCCACCACGGCAGCGCGACGAAAGCCGAAAGGUCUUUAAAUUUUUUUUUCUUUUUUU
Molecule: long non-coding RNA, 775 nt
Filed under: Gossypium barbadense (sea-island cotton)
Lineage: Eukaryota; Viridiplantae; Streptophyta; Magnoliopsida; Malvales; Malvaceae
Description: long non-coding RNA (GBAR_LNC021525)
Source: RNAcentral